This 9787-nucleotide long non-coding RNA is filed under the name Lactuca sativa (garden lettuce). Its description in RNAcentral is "long non-coding RNA (LSAT_LNC004021)". The record is from RNAcentral. Lineage: Eukaryota; Viridiplantae; Streptophyta; Magnoliopsida; Asterales; Asteraceae.
AUAUGGAGAGUAAACUCAUAUAUGGGGUCCUUUGGAACCCUAAACCCAAGUACCUUGUCCCACAAUAGCUUAGAUGCAAUCCUUAGGGCUUAAAACACUUAUAUAAAGUGUUUAUUAUGUCUAGGAUGUCUUAACAUUAUCAAUUAGUAAUUUAAGACUAAUUGAGUGCAUAUAUGUGUGAUUAUAUGUUCAUUAGGAUCGUAGUGUGUGUACAAGUCCUCGCUUGACACCUAGCAAUCCUAUACCGUUCAGUUCAUCCAAAUCACCAACUACAGGUGAGUUCAUACCCCUAAUCAAUGUUUUAAAUGAUUUUAAAUGCUUUAAUGGGGGGGGGAAUACAAGUAGAAAACAACAUGUUAUUAAAUCAUCUAUAUGUAUUUUAUAACUGUGUUUUCAUUCAACAGAUUUCACAUACUACAAAAUGUGAUGCAUGAAAUGGUUUUCUAUCUUUAAAAUACUUUGUUAUCAAAUGUAUUACUUUUGAAAUGUUUAUCAAAAUGACAUCAAGUCACUUUUAUAUUUGUUCAAAACCCUUAGAUGUCUUACAAAACCAUUUUACAUUCUUGAACUAAACUAUGCAUAUACACUUAUAUUCUUAUAUAUGUAUUGAUGUUAUAGUUUACAACUUUCAUUUAGUUUCUCACACCCUUGAGUAGUAAGAGUGUAUAAACCUACUUGAACAACCAAUUACCUUCCAGUAAAUUAUCAUAGGGAUAAUUUGGAGAUAUCAAACAUAAUUCCUAUUACAAGGAAUCACACAAGAGUCAGUUCAUUCAUGAGUCUAUACCAGUACAUUACCUGAUACAUGAGUACAUUUACAUUUGAUUACAUGAUACAUGAGUACGUUUACAUAUACUUACAUGAUACAUGAACACGCUUACAUGAACGCAUUACAUGAGUACCUUUACGUAGAUACACUUACCUGUGUAUAUUAACAUGAAUACUUGUAUCUCGAAUUGCGAGGAUGAUUUAUUAGUACCUUCUGUGUAAAUCUUCCUGCAUAUCCCUAGUACCUCGGGAUAUCUAGACAGGACCCUAUCCCUAGUACCUCGGGAUACCUAGAUGGGACCCUAUCCCUAGUACCUCGGGAUAUAUGGACGGGACUAACCAUUCCGGAACCCAGCUGUUAGCACCAGUGGGUGAUGAACAUCUACGGAUGCCUAAGGUUAAUACUUAUACUAGGGAGAUCGAUUUCGGGACUAACCCUCCCUCCACCCUGCUGCCGCUACAGAGGAUGAGUGGACAAUCUUCGGAUGUUCAUUAGGGUAUACCUUUCGCUUCGGCGAUGUCGUGUUAAUCCUGGUCACCCAGGGAUAACACUUACAUGAUUAUAUUUUUCCUAUUUUACUUUAUUUUGUGAUAUAUUCACAUAAACGAUGAGUUAGACUAAGCACUUUUAGUACUAGUCAAUAGAAAGGAAAAGCUAUCAUUUUACUUACAGAACAUUUAAGUCUUGGUAGAAGACUAUCAUAUCAUUUUCCUAUUUUACUUUAUUUUGUGAUACAUUCACCUAAACAAAGAGUUAGACUAAGUACUUUUAGUACUAGUCAAUAGAAAGGAAAAACUAUCAUUUUACUUACAAAACAUUCGGGUCUUGGUAGAAGACUACAUUGUCAUAACAAAACAUUCGGGUCUUGGUAGAAGACUACAUUGUCAUAACAAAACAUUCGGGUCUUGGUAGAAGACUACAUUGUCAUAACAAAACAUUCGGGUCUUGGUAGAAGACUACAUUGUCAUAACAAAACAUUCGGGUCUUGGUAGAAGACUACAUUGUCAUAACAAAACAUUCGGGUCUUGGUAGAAGACUACAUUGUCAUAACAAAACAUUCGGGUCUUGGUAGAAGACUACAUCUCAAACUGAUAGAAAAUAAGGGAUUUUCUAGGGCUUUUCAUACUUACAUCAACAUUUUCAUUUAAAGGUUUGCAUGACUUUUAAAACAGCUUUUAAUAAGCAAGACAAUGACACUUAAAUACUUAUGAAUUCACCAGCUUUAAAGCUGAUACUCUCUUUCAAAAUAACUUGUAUUCUCAGGUCAACAGUAGACAGGUACGAUGGCCAGGUUUUGAGAAGACGGAGCAGACAAGUCUCGUCUUUUAUUUUGAUUGUAUAUUUUUGGUGUCUUACUACAAUGAAAGAACACACAUGUAUUAAAACUUUACUUAUAAUGCAAUGGAUGAUGUUGUUGCUUGUUUAUUAUAUUACACUGUUGUGAUACUGUACAUGACGUCCUCCACCCCUGAACGUUUCCGCCGUUCGUGGUUUUGGGGUGUGACAGAUUGGUAUCAGAGCAUUGUUUAUAGUGAAUAUAGUAUAUCAACCCAUAAAAGAUAUACUAACUAUAAAUACAUUGGGAUUAAAACACUCUGUCUAAGAGUUAUACUUUUAAAUAAUAAAAUAUUUAAGUAAGUAUACGUGCCUGCAUUCAUACUAAAAUCAGUGUCACAAUGACAAGAACAAAAGUAUUACGAUUGUUGAAUAUCACAAGUAAGCCUGGGGAUAUAUGGUCAGUCUUGGGAAUGGCAUAGCCUGAUCAACUAUGCUGGUCCGAGGAGUGAUUAGCAUAUGCCCAAGAAUGGUUGUGAUAUGGCAACAAGUCUAAAAACUUACCAACACAACCAUAAAGAAAUACCAUAGGGGUAUUUGGUCUUACUGUAAUUAUCUUAGUUAGUUCGUCUAUUUUAGCUAUUUCUUAUAUCCCUUUUCUCGCGUAGAUUAAAAUGGCUGGAUUUCACCAUGGCGAUCCGUACUUCCCAAACCAAGGCAAUGCUGGUUGGCUAGAGGCAGAACCAGAAGAUGAUCACCCAAUCCCUUUGGAUGAUCACCAUGCUGAGGGUUUUUCUGAUAGUUCUGACUCGAAGCCAGAAGUCAACAACCUACCCCCAAAUGCUCAAAACCCAAACCUGAACCCUGUCCCGCAAUGGAGACCGAAGUUUCUACAACCUCACUGAAGGAGGUUCUGCUGAUAGAGUCCUAUCCAUCAUGGUGCCUAGGAUUUCUCGGAACACGAUAAUGGCUCAGGCGACUAUCAAUCAAGUCUUGGAAGUUGACGCCAACUUUGGUGUUAACACUGUCCACAUUCGCCAACUAGAGUCUGCUCAUGAAAGGACUCUGGUCCGCAAUGCAAAUCUGCAGAGGGAACUUGCUGAAAUCCGAGCUGAAGUUAGAGGACUUCGAGCUCAGCAAGCAAGGUCGUAUAAGCGCAUAAGGGACAUUGAAUGUCUACUGUCGGGAUCAAGAACUCAUGCUAGCAGUUCUCGUCGCCGAUAGAAUCUCGUCGACUCAUCUUUUGGAUAUAACCUAGUUUAUGUAAAACUUUGGUCUAAUUUCCUAUAUGUAUAAAUCCUAGACCUGUUAGGUCUUGAUCUAGUCUUAUUUCUGUCAAAAUUUUCCAUCUUGGUUGAUGUAAGGCCUACUUCUAGGCCAUUUUUCCCGAACUUGUUACAUCUGUAAUUCCAGUAUUUUUGACAGAUAUCUAAUCUUAUGGAAAUCAUUAUCUAAAUGCUGUCAUCUUCAUUUAACCAUUCUAUUCAUUCUGUUGUUCGACUAUGGGGAGUUAGUGCAUGAGACACAUUCAUUAAUCAUUUAUUCUUAUCCAUGUCGUCAUCUUUUAAACGUAUAGUUAAAGAUGCCGCCACGCAGGAAUCCAAGGCGAAACCCAAACAACGAAACACCGAUACCACCACCUCCACCACCACCUGAACCUCUUCAACCACCAAAUCCUUUCGAUGCAAACAUGUUCCAGGCAGCUUUCACAGCAACAGUUGCAGCUGCUGUGUCAGCAAUCAACGCUCCUGCCCCUAGUGGAUUAGGAACAGGUGUACCUCCCUCGAACCACGGCGAAAGCCAUGGACACCCACAGGAAUGCACCUACAAGGACUUCACGAACGCCAAACCCCACAGCUUCAAUGGAACUAGGGGUGUUAUGGUGUUGAGACAAUGGAUUGAAAAGAUGGAAUCCGUCUUUGAAAUUUGUGCUUGCCAGGAGGGCAACAAGGUCAAGUUUGCAGCUUGUACCUUCUCUGACAGAGCACUAACAUGGGGGAACAGCCAUGUUAACUAUCUGACUUUGGUGGUGGCGUAUUCCAUCAGCUGGGAAAAGUUAAAGGACAUGCUGAUGAAAGAGUAUUGUCCUUGAGGCGAAGUACAAAAACUCGAGUAGGAAUUCUGGGGUCUACAAAUAGUUGGAUCCGACAUCACGACCUACACAAAUAGGUUCUGUGAUCUGGCAAACUUAUGCCCAGACAUGGUUGCUCUCCAGAGCAAAAAGAUAGAGAGAUAUAUCUGGGGACUGUCGCCCCAGAUCCAGUCAAGUGUGAUAGCUUCCAGGCCUAUUACUUUCGAUAGUGCCAAAGAGCUAGCACAAUCUCUCAUAGACCACAGGAAACCUCAAAACCCAUCAAUCCCUAUACCCGUACCACAAAAGUCCAACCCCGACCACAACAGGAAGGGGUGGAAUAAGAGGAAAAGAGGGGCUUCGCAAGGAUCCUCCAAGAAACAACAACUUGUGGCGAUCAAUGCUGCCACAGUUACUCCCAUUGUCCCUGCGAACCUCUUUCCAGCAAAACCAUAUGCUGGAACUCUUCCGAAGUGCACCAAGUGCAACUUCCACCACCACGGACCUUGCAAGGAAAUGCAGUGCUCUAACUGUAACAGGAAGGGACAUACAGUCCGUUUCUGCAAGACUCCAACAGCUCAAGCCGCCCAGGUUCCUAACGCCAGUAUAGGCCAAACUUGCUACGGUUGUGGCAAGGUGGGCCACUACAAGAGGAACUGCCCUAAAGCAGGGAUGGCUGGAGGAGUAGGAAGAGUUAUGGCCCUAGGCCACGAGGAAGCGGUAGCUGAUCCUACGAUAAUUACUGGUACGUUUCUCCUCGAUAACUCAUAUGCUUGCAUACUUUUCGAUAGUGGAGCCGAGAAAAGUUUUGUAAGUCACAAAUUUGCACACCUGCUUAAACAAAAACCAUGUGUAUUAGAUAAUUCAUUCACGGUAGAAAUGGCUAACGGGAAAACAGAGAGUACAAACUGCAUAUACGUAGGUUGUACCUUAACUUUAGAUGGCCAUACUUUCAAGAUAGAUCUCAUGCCAGUCACAAUUAAAUGUUUCGACGUUAUCAUCGGUAUGGAUUGGUUGAGUCUUCUGCGUGCCGACAUUAUGUGCUUCGAAAAAGCAGUUCGUCUUAACCUUCCUAACAACGAAACCUUAGUUAUCUACGGCGACAAACCUAGUACGAGCCUUCGCAUCAUUUCGUGCAUUCAAGCCCAGAAGUGCUUGCGGAAGGAGUACCAUGCAUUCCUCGCACACGUCGUCGAUACCAGUCAAGAACUGAAAGUCAUCUAGAAAAUCCCAGAAGUACGCGACUUUCCCGACAUAUUUCCAGAAGAACUUCCAGGUUUACCACCACAACGCCAAAUCGAGUUCAGAAACGACUUAGUGCCAGGGGCUACCCCCGUAGCCAAAUCUCCUUAUCGUCUGGCACCGGCUGAAAUGCAAGAACUUUCCAGUCAACUUAACGAACUUCUCAAGAAGGGAUUCAUUCGACCAAGCUUCUCACCAUGGGGAGCACCGGUCUUGUUCGUCAAGAAGAAAGAUGGAUCGUUUCGCAUGUGCAUCGACUAUAGAGAACUCAACAAACUUACCAUUAAAAAUCGUUAUCCCUUGCCCCGCAUUGACGAUUUAUUUGAUCAACUUCAAGGAGCCAACUACUUCUCGAAGAUAGAUCUGCGAUCCGGAUAUCACCAACUAAGAGUGUUAGAGGAGGAUAUUCCCAAGAAAGCCUUCCAAACUCGUUAUGGGCACUACGAAUUUGUAGUGAUGCUGUUCUGAUUAACUAACGCGCCCACAAUAUUCAUGGAUCUGAUGAAUAGGGUGUGUCGUCCUUAAUUCGAUUAGUCCGUCAUCGUCUUCAUUGAUGACAUACUCAUCUACUCUCGAAGUAAGGAAGAACAUAGCCAACAUCUCCGUAAAAUCUUAGAAACAUUGCGAUCGGAGAAGCUCUACGCGAAGUUCUCAAAGUGCGAAUUUUGGAUUCGGCGAGUCGAAUUUUUGGGCCAUGUUGUUAGCGAAGAAGGUAUACACGUGGACCCUUCCAAAAUUAAGGCCAUCGAGAACUGGUCAGCACCAAAGACACCUACUGAAAUUCGUCAAUUUCUAGGUCUAGCUGGCUACUAUCGCAGGUUCAUUCAGAACUUCUCCAGCAUAGCGAAACCUCUUACAACCCUGACCCAGAAAGGCGUGGCCUUCGACUGGGAGGAGAAACAGGAAAGAGCGUUCCAAACGCUCAAACGAGCCUUGUGCACCGCCCCGAUACUAUCCCUUCCCGAAGGAAUAGAAGACUUCAUUGUCUAUUGCGAUGCAUCCAAUCAAGGACUCGGAUGUGUUCUGAUGCAGCGAGGUAAAGUCAUAGCCUAUGCCUCGAGACAACUGAAGGCACAUGAGGUUAACUACACAACCCACGAUAUUGAACCAGGAGCAGUUGUGUUUGCUCUGAAGAUCUGGCGCCAUUACCUGUACGGUACAAAAAGCACGAUCUUUACAGACCAUAAGAGUCUGCAACACAUUUUCGACCAGAAGGAGCUCAACAUGAGACAACGACGGUGGGUCGAGCUACUUAGUGAUUACGAGUGCGAAAUUCGUUAUCAUCCGGGUAAAGCCAAUGUAGUAGCCGACGCCCUAAGUCGGAAAGAAUAUACUGGUCGUAGAGUCAAAUCUUUGACUCUAACUAUCCAUUCACACUUGUCCACGCAAAUAAAGGAGGCUCAGCUCGACGCUUUGAAACCUGAAAACGUGGCUGGUGAAUCCCUUAGAGGGAUGGAUAAGAACUUGGAAGUCAAGGGUGGCGGAGCCUUAUACCUCAUGGAUCGGAUCUGGACACCGAAACACGGUGGCUUCAGAGACUUGGUCAUGACCGAAGCUCACAACACUCGUUAUUCCGUCCACCCGGGUUCAGAUAAGAUGUAUCUGGAUCUUAAAAAGUUAUACUGGUGGCCUAACAUGAAAGCAGAUAUUGCUACCUUCGUGAGUAAAUGCCUUACUUGCGCAAAGGUCAAGGUCGAAUACCAGAAACCCUCCGGUCUUCUACAACAACCGGAGAUACCAGAAUGGAAGUGGGAGCGGAUCACUAUGGACUUCAUAACCAAGUUGCCCAAGACGACGGGUGGACUUGAUUCCAUAUGGGUCAUCGUCGAUAGACUGACCAAGUCUGCACACUUCCUACCGAUCAAAGAAACAGACAAGAUGGAGAAACUUACCAGAACUUACAUUAGGGAGAUUGUAAGGCUGCACGGUGUUCCUUUAUCUAUCAUCUCAGACCGAGAUAGUAGAUUCACUUCGAGGUUCUGGCAGUCAUUACAAAGUUCCCUAGGAACUAGGCUGGACAUGAGUACAGCCUACCAUCCACAGACCGACGGGCAAAGUGAGAGGACUAUCCAAACCUUAGAAGAUAUGUUGCGUGCCUGUGUGAUUGACUUUGGAAAAGCUUGGGAUACUCAUUUACCCCUUGUUGAAUUUUCCUACAACAACAGUUAUCAUACGAGCAUAAAGGCAGCUCCAUUCGAGGCCCUCUAUGGCCGAAAGUGCAGAUCCCCUCUGUGCUGGGCUGAAGUGGGUGAUACCCAGUUAGCUAAGGGACGAGUUCCCGAAAGCACUCUCACGGGUCCGGAGAUCAUUCGGGAAACGACAGAGAAGAUCUUUCAAAUUCGUGAACGAUUGAAAGCCUCUAGAGACCGACAGAAAAGCUACGCUGACAAGCGUAGGAAACCAUUGGAGUUACAGGUCGGCAACCGAGUCCUACUGAAGGUCUCACCCUGGAAGGGCUUGAUACGCUUUGGGAAGCAUGGGAAGCUCAAUCCAAGAUACAUAGGGCCUUUCGAGAUUCUCGCAAGAAUCGGCCCUGUGGCUUACAAGCUCAAUCUACCGCAAGAACUCAGUAACGUACAUCCUACCUUCCACGUGUCAAACUUGAAAAAGUGUCUAUCCGACGAGACUCUUGUUAUUCCACUCGACGAGAUCGAGAUCAACGAGAGCCUCAACUUCGUGGAGGAACCAGUAGAGAUCAUGGACCGAGAGGUCAAGCAAACAAAGCAGAGCUGUAUCCCGAGAGUGAAGGUGCGCUGCAACGCAAAGCGUGGACCGGAAUUCACUUAGGAAUGUGAGAAUCAGAUGAAACUGAAAUAACCUCACCUUUUCGCUUAGUUAUUUGUAAUUUUUAUUUCCUUAAAUUCUAAUUUCGGGACGAAAUUCCUUCUAACGGGGGGAUGAUGUGACAACCCGAAAUUUCCAUUCUGUACAAACUAUAUCACUUCAAUAGAAGUUAUAGCAGUCACAGUUAAUUUUCAGACUUUUUCGCGUAAGUUUGAGUAAUUCAGGGUUUACACUUCAGGAAAUAUCAGGAGAGUGGGUGCACAAGGGUUUUGUGCAACACUGUUAUUCCAACAGUCUAUUAUAUUAGAGAUCAUUUCAGGAAUAAAAUAUUUUCUGCCAAAAAUAUAUCAGGACAAUAAAUAGAAUUCUGAACCAAAUUCAUUCAUUAUUCGCAUUUCCAACCAAAGAAAAGCCAUUUUCUUUCUCACAGAUCUUCGGGUUUUUAUCCCAAAUCAUGAGUACCUCUUUCUAGUAGUGUUAGAAAGCUUUAUAUGUGUUAAUAACAUGAUUUAGAAGGCUAAAUCACUAGAUUUAGGAGUUUACUCCCCAAGGUGUUCUUGGGCGGUAAACUCCCGAAACGAANUGGGCGGUAACCUCCCGAAACGAAGCCUAGACCGACCCUUGUGUUAUACUACUGCCUUAGACUCAUUUAUAAAUGUGUUAGGGACAUGAAAUCAAGCAAAUACCACCCAAGUUUGGGAGUUCACGGCCCAAGAGUUUCUUAGGCCGUAAACUCCAAUUUCAAGCUCAAAAUGGUGCUUUUAAUACACCUAAAGCCCUAGACAUUUACUAGGAAUUGUUCCCACUUAAUUGAAGGAAAAAAACACAUCAAAAUCACCUCUUGAAGUGAGUUUACGGCCCUGGUAAUGCUCCUAGGCCGUAAACACCAAACAAGGGCACCAAAGUGUGCCUAGGGUCCUCAUUAGCUUUAAACAAAUGUCUAGAACCUAUCCUUCAAAUGCAAGAGACUUGAAAACAACAAAAACACCAUUCCAAGGGAGUUUACGGCCGUAAACUCCAAAGGAAAUGGCCUUGGGGCCGUAAACUCCUCUAGGGAGUGUUUCUAGGCCUUAAACCCUUUCAAGAAUUGAACCACCAAGUUGGAAUAAUUCUAGGAAUCAUUUGGAACUUCAAAACACACAAUACACCCAUGGUUGGGAGUUUACGGCCGUAAACUCAAGAGUUUACAACCGUAAACUCCAUGUGUGUUGGUAUAUGAGGAGUAAACUCAUAUAUGGGGUCCUUUGGAACCCUAAACACAAGUACCUUGUCCCACAAUAGCUUAGAUGCAAUCCUUAGGACUUAAAACACUUAUAUAAAGUGUUUAUUAUGUCUAGGAUGUCUUAGCUUUAUCAAUUAGUAACUUAAGACUAAUUGAGUGCGUAUAUGUGUGAUUAUAUGUUCAUUAGGAUCGUAGUGUGUGUACAAGUCCUCGCUUGACACCUAGCAAUCCUAUACCGUUCAGUUCAUCCCAAUCACCAUCUACAGGUGAGUUCAUGCCCCUUAAUCAAUGUUUUACAUGAUUUUAAACGUUUUAACGGGGGGGAAUACAAGUAGAAAACAAUAUGUUAUUAAAUCAAUCUUAUGUAUUUUAUAACUGUGUUUUCACUCAGUAGAUUUCACAUAUUUCAAAAGGUGACACAUGA